This 1215-nucleotide small RNA is filed under the name Penicillium rubefaciens. RNAcentral's name for it is "eukaryotic LSU rRNA". The stretch from base 228 to 381 matches the Rfam family "5.8S ribosomal RNA". The record is from RNAcentral. Lineage: Eukaryota; Fungi; Ascomycota; Eurotiomycetes; Eurotiales; Aspergillaceae.
AAGUUAAAAAUCGUAACAAGGUUUCCGUAGGUGAACCUGCGGAAGGAUCAUUACCGAGUGAGGGCCCUCUGGGUCCAACCUCCCACCCAUGUUUAUUGUACCUUGUUGCUUCGGCGGGCCCGCCUCACGGCCGCCGGGGGGCUUCUGCCCUCUGGCCCGCGCCCGCCGAAGACACCAUUGAACACUGUCUGAAGAUUGCAGUCUGAGCAAUUAGCUAAAUAAGUUAAAACUUUCAACAACGGAUCUCUUGGUUCCGGCAUCGAUGAAGAACGCAGCGAAAUGCGAUACGUAAUGUGAAUUGCAGAAUUCAGUGAAUCAUCGAGUCUUUGAACGCACAUUGCGCCCCUUGGUAUUCCGGGGGGCAUGCCUGUCCGAGCGUCAUUGCUGCCCUCAAGCACGGCUUGUGUGUUGGGCCCCGUCCUCCUUCCCGGGGGACGGGCCCGAAAGGCAGCGGCGGCACCGCGUCCGGUCCUCGAGCGUAUGGGGCUUUGUCACCCGCUCUUGUAGGCCCGGCCGGCGCUUGCCGACAACAAUCAAUCUUUUUUCAGGUUGACCUCGGAUCAGGUAGGGAUACCCGCUGAAAUUAAGCAUAUCAAUAACCGGAGGAAAAGAAACCAACAGGGAUUGCCUCAGUAACGGCUAGUGAAGCGUGAGAGCUCAAUUUGAGAGCUGGCCCUUAGGUCCGCAUUGUGAUUGCUACGAGCGUCGGGAGUGCCCCCUCUAAUGCCUGGAAGGGCGUCAAGAGGGUGAGAGCCCCUAUGGGAUGGGUGCCCCGACGAGUGAGCUCCUUCGAGAUCUAUUGUUAGGAAUGCAGCUCUCAUGGUGGAAAUUUCUCAAACUAAUAUGGGCGAAACGAAGCGACAUUAGCUCUCGAAAGAAAUUUUUUCAGAAGAGUAAAAGCCGUGAAUUGUGAAGGAACGUUGUACAGAUCGCUACGGGUCACCGUAUCGUCCGUGUCUUCCGUGGCGGCAACUCGUUUGCCGCCGUCAAGCCUCGAUGAAGCUCCGGGCUCUAAACCAGGUCAUGCGCAUCCGACGAGAAGUCUCGCCGACCUGGUAAGUCGAUCACCUCUGACCGGCAGGGCUAAUUACCAGGUCGUGAACCUCCGCUGACCAAGAGUGGACUUAGUCCACACGCCGAGCUCGAGAUGGUAAGUACUUGGCCAAAGGAAACCAAGGGACAGAACAGAAGCACAUCAGGAUGCCAUGGUGGGAA